UGGGGAAUAUUGGACAAUGGGCGAAAGCCUAAUCCAGCCAUGCCGCGUGUGUGAAGAAGGCCUUUUGGUUGUAAAGCACUUUAAGUGGGGAGGAAAAGCUUGUGGUUAAUACCCAUAAGCCCUGACGUUACCCACAGAAUAAGCACCGGCUAACUCUGUGCCAGCAGCCGCGGUAAUACAGAGGGUGCAAGCGUUAAUCGGAAUUACUGGGCGUAAAGCGCGCGUAGGUGGUUAUUUAAGUCAGAUGUGAAAGCCCCGGGCUUAACCUGGGAACUGCAUCUGAUACUGGAUAACUAGAGUAGGUGAGAGGGGAGUAGAAUUCCAGGUGUAGCGGUGAAAUGCGUAGAGAUCUGGAGGAAUACCGAUGGCGAAGGCAGCUCCCUGGCAUCAUACUGACACUGAGGUGCGAAAGCGUGGGUAGCAAACAGGAUUAGAUACCCUGGUAGUCCACGCCGUAAACGAUGUCUACCAGUCGUUGGGUCUUUUAAAGACUUAGUGACGCAGUUAACGCAAUAAGUAGACCGCCUGGGGAGUACGGCCGCAAGGUUA
RNAcentral lists this ribosomal RNA (549 nucleotides) under uncultured bacterium. Its description in RNAcentral is "bacterial SSU rRNA". It matches the Rfam family "Bacterial small subunit ribosomal RNA", at positions 355 to 896 of the family's 1533-position model. The record is from RNAcentral.